UACAGAGGGUGCAAGCGUUAAUCGGAAUGACUGGGCGUAAAGGGUGCGUAGGUGGUUAUUUAAGUUAGAUGUGAAAGCCCCGGGCUUAACCUGGGAACUGCAUCUAAUACUGAGUAGCUUGAGUAGAAUAGAGGGGAGUGGAAUUUCCGGUGUAGCGGUGGAAUGCGUAGAUAUCGGAAGGAACACCAGUGGCGAAGGCGGCUCCCUGGAUUCAUACUGACACUGAGGCACGAAAGCGUGGGGAGCAAACAGG
This 253-nucleotide ribosomal RNA is filed under the name uncultured bacterium. RNAcentral describes it as "partial 16S ribosomal RNA". It matches the Rfam family "Bacterial small subunit ribosomal RNA", at positions 524 to 776 of the family's 1533-position model. The record is from RNAcentral.